UUGGAGGGCAAGUCUGGUGCCAGCAGCCGCGGUAAUUCCAGCUCCAAUAGCGUAUAUUAAAGUUGUUGCAGUUAAAAAGCUCGUAGUUGAAUUUCGGGGUCAGUAGAUUGGUCAUGCCACUGGUAUGUACUGGUCUCACUGAUUCCUCCUUCCUGAUGAGCCGUAAUGCCAUUAAUUUGGUGUUGCGAGGAAUCUGGACUGUUACUUUGAAAAAAUUAGAGUGUUUAAAGCAGGCUAACGCUUGAAUACAUUAGCAUGGAAUAAUGAAAUAGGACGUUCGAUCUUAUUUUGUUGGUUUCUAAGAUUGACGUAAUGAUUAAUAGGGAUAGUUGGGGGCAUUAGUAUUCAAUUGUCAGAGGUGAAAUUCUUGGAUUUAUUGAAGACUAACUACUGCGAAAGCAUUUGCCAAGGGUGUUUUCAUUAAUCAAGAACGAAAGUUAGGGGAUCGAAGACGAUCAGAUACCGUCGUAGUCUUAACCAUAAACUAUGCCGACUAGGGACCGGAUGAUGUUAAUUUUUUAAUGACUCAUUCGGCGCCUUACGGGAAAC
Molecule: ribosomal RNA, 549 nt
Filed under: uncultured Glomus
Lineage: Eukaryota; Fungi; Glomeromycota; Glomeromycetes; Glomerales; Glomeraceae
Description: SSU rRNA
Rfam family: Eukaryotic small subunit ribosomal RNA
Source: RNAcentral